This 253-nucleotide ribosomal RNA is filed under the name uncultured bacterium. RNAcentral's name for it is "partial 16S ribosomal RNA". It matches the Rfam family "Bacterial small subunit ribosomal RNA", at positions 524 to 776 of the family's 1533-position model. The record is from RNAcentral.
UACGUAGGGACCAAGCGUUGUUCGGAUUUACUGGGCGUAAAGGGCGCGUAGGCGGCUUAACAAGUCACUUGUGAAAUCUCCGGGCUUAACUCGGAACGGCCAAGUGAAACUGUCAAGCUAGAGUGCAGGAGGGGCAAUCGGAAUUCUUGGUGUAGCGGUGAAAUGCGUAGAUAUCAAGAGGGACACCUGAGGUGAAGACGGGUUGCUGGGCUGACACUGACGCUGAGGCGCGAAAGCCAGGGGAGCAAACGGG